AUUUAUAUUUAGAAAAUGUGAGCAGCAAUAUUCUUUUGAAAGCAUGACAGAGAUUUGCUUUCCCUGAUUACCUCGGGUCGGUUAGACACCGAGGUCAUAAAUUCGGCUCCUAUUUUUUCUUCUUAUUUUUUUGUAGUAGUCGAAGAUGGAAGAGCCUGCAGAGGAGACGACAACUUCUGGUAAAUAAGUGUACUUCCAACAAGCAUCGGCCAAAGCGAAACCAUAGUUAAUAGAAUAGAUGGUUUCGAAACUCAUUAGAAUAACAACAUAACUCAUUAUCUAUGUUAGUCAACGUUUAUUCAUAAACAUGGUCGUUCCACAGUCACGUGUGUAUUGUGUUCUUGCCAAAUCCAUCAAUCGCAAUUUUCAAUUUACCCUAUUGUUCGAGUCACGGAUAGGUAACUUUUCCUAUGAUUUCCUAUGACAUUGCCAUUGGUUAGUUGGGCAAGAAUACAAUACGCACGUGACGGCGAACGACCAGAUUUAUGAACAAAGUUGACCAUAACAUAUAUAAUGAGUUAUAUUAUUAUUCUAAUGAGUUCCCAAACCAUCUAUUCUAUUAACUAUGGUGCAAUCAACAAAUAGACUGAUAAUAUUGUCUGUUAGGGUUACUAAAGUAUAUCAUUCACUCGUCCACAAAAUAUCCCAAAUAAUUAAUCCCCAAGCCGACGGCGCGAAGCGCCGUGCGAGGGUACUAAUCCCCCCGGCUAUUUAUACCCGGGGAAACAAAAGCAUUAGCGGAGUCUAAAGUUCACCAAAUAUCGCGGGCGUGGGUGACCAACCGUGGGUGGUCAUCCUCACUGAUCUCAAAUAUAUGGCGGACUGUCAUAAAUAGCGGACACUCAUGAUUGGUCCAAUUUAAAAUUUGCAUUACUGAUAACGCUGCAUGACGACAGUGAAAUUACAAACAUUUCUUGAUUUAUCCACUCCAUUUAUUUCUUGAUUUGAUGAUUGAUGAAUUUGCUUGCAUUUUUGGAAGAUUUUGUAAAUUUCAAAAGUUUUCACAUAAAAAAAGGGCGAAACAAUCGGCUAAAAGAAGGGAGCCGACGUUAACGAAGGUAAGUUUGUUUUAAAUAUUGAUUUAUAAUGGAUUUAAAACGCGACGACCUUUGCGUAUAUGAAACAACUAAACAAGACAGCAUAUAAUUACAGUAUAUCUUUAAUAUUGAUUCCCUGCUUUAUUAUAUUGAAUUUUUUAAAUACAUAAAAAAGAAAGCAAAGUUAUUUGCAAGUGAGAAUUUUAAAUCAUUUUAUUGCAAACUCAAAGUUUAUCGAUAAAGCCAUUUAAUUAUAAAAGGAUGUUUCGUUUUAUAAAGAACACUUUAAAACGUUUUGCGAAAGGUUUGUGGUUGAAUUUUAUCUUAAAUUGAAGCCUAUAUUACGUAUACUAACAUACCUAACAUCUAUAUGGUG
Molecule: non-coding RNA, 1413 nt
Organism: Paramuricea clavata
Lineage: Eukaryota; Metazoa; Cnidaria; Anthozoa; Malacalcyonacea; Plexauridae
Source: the annotation of a GenBank genome assembly